GGGCCUAUAGUUUAACGGAUAAAAUAUCCCGCUUCGGACGGGAAGCUCUGGGUUCAAUUCCCAGUAGGCCCA
This 72-nucleotide transfer RNA is filed under the name Candidatus Woesearchaeota archaeon. Its description in RNAcentral is "tRNA-Arg". It matches the Rfam family "tRNA". Rfam says of the family: Transfer RNA (tRNA) molecules are approximately 80 nucleotides in length. Their secondary structure includes four short double-helical elements and three loops (D, anti-codon, and T loops). Further hydrogen bonds mediate the characteristic L-shaped molecular structure. tRNAs have two regions of fundamental functional importance: the anti-codon, which is responsible for specific mRNA codon recognition, and the 3' end, to which the tRNAs corresponding amino acid is attached (by aminoacyl-tRNA synthetases). tRNAs cope with the degeneracy of the genetic code in two manners: having more than one tRNA (with a specific anti-codon) for a particular amino acid; and 'wobble' base-pairing, i.e. permitting non-standard base-pairing at the 3rd anti-codon position. Lineage: Archaea; Nanobdellati; Candidatus Woesearchaeota. The record is from RNAcentral.